AGGUCUCUAUAAAUUUAUGGCAUAAGGGCGCGUGCUCAAUGAAUUCAAGUGUAUGGAUGCGAUAUUCAACUUUGCAGUACAUGACACACUAUCUUUUAAUUAAGGCGUGAAGCAUUACUCCUCUGUCUUAUUGGUAGUCUUCUUAGCCUGCAUGUAAUCUUGUAAUCCUAGAAGUCUCUACCAUACCUUUAUGCAUGUGUGAACAUCUGGUUAGUAGUUCACAACCAAUGAAACAAUGUAAGCCAUUGGUGCAGAGUGAGGUAGAGCUAAAGGGAAUGGUUGGGAAACUAAUAUUUGGAGACAUGCAGGCGGGACACAGGCACACUGACACACAGGGUUAUAGGAUUAGCAGGUAUCUGGAACAACAUCACAAUCUGAGGUUGUUAGAAAAAUGAGAUUUCAAAAUAUCAAAACUCAAAACGAAUAUUUGUGUCUCUAAACAAUCUUGAAUAAAAAAUUGACAGGUACAAAAUUGUAGAUCACAUCGAGCUCUACAUUUUAGUAUAAAAUUAGUCCCCAUAAAAAAAUUAUAUGUAGAAGUUAUGAAUUUUUUUUUGUGUUAACAAUCUACCGAAAGGUUCCCACUGUAAAUGGAUUUCUGCAGUGGCUUUUUAGGAGGCUGACAUCUAACAAGCAUUUUCAGAAACAGAUUGUGGCCAUUUAGCCCCUUGACCAUUUCCAGGUAUCGUAGAUCAUUUUAACCGUCUCGAAAAAUAAAAUUUAGUAUAGUCUAGAAUUGUUUGUGUAGUAUGACCUGGCGGAUGACAUGGGGCAGAACAGGCUGCCAAAAGAAAAUAUCUCCGCUCAAAGAUCAGUCUCCCAUGUUUUAAUUCUACAGUACACAAAGUGACCUUAAUGCAUCUGUGGGUUAAUGUAGGGGAAAUACAAGCUACUGCACAAGUAGUGCACCCGACCUAUAAGGCUUCACGAACCUCCCAUUAUUUAAGGCUGAGAAUGACUUGUGUGUCUUAGAGUCCUCUUUCAGCAGCCUCUUAUAACAUGGCAAUCAAGUCUCUACUUUAAUUUUUUAACAGCUAGUUAGCAUCUCCAAACCAGUUAAAACUCAGUCAGUAGUCGGCGGAGAGAGAGAGGAGCCGGGGGGCGGGGGAGCGCCCCUGGUAAACCAGAAACUCAAAUGUGAUACAAUACUAGUCCCAGGAGGCUAGUAACACAUUUAUUACAUCAGAUAAGUUUCAGCGCAGUAGUCUCGGUAAGCGUGGACAAGGAAGGCACGCUAUGAUAAUAAGACACCAAAAUACAACAUAGGUCCAAAGGACCCAGAAACAAACGAUAUCACAAUCGAACAUCUGACGAGUCCCAAUGCCACAUGCUUAGUUGGGUGCAGACACGACUUUACUCGAACGCCACUUCGGGAUCGAAGUCCGGAUCUUCCUCUGUUUAAUAAAGCAAGGGUGAGUACAAAGUACUCAGCAAAUCCAACCUUACCCUACGGAAGGGGAUAACAAUAUAUAUGCAUA
This 1478-nucleotide long non-coding RNA is filed under the name Sorghum bicolor (sorghum). Its description in RNAcentral is "long non-coding RNA (SBIC_LNC015394)". Lineage: Eukaryota; Viridiplantae; Streptophyta; Magnoliopsida; Poales; Poaceae. The record is from RNAcentral.